This 72-nucleotide transfer RNA is filed under the name Thalictrum thalictroides. RNAcentral's name for it is "tRNA-Ile". Lineage: Eukaryota; Viridiplantae; Streptophyta; Magnoliopsida; Ranunculales; Ranunculaceae. The record is from RNAcentral.
GGCCCAUUGGCUCAGUUGGCUAGAGUGUCAUGUUAAUUAUGUGAAGGCUCAGGUCGAGACCUGCAUGGGCCA